UGGGGAAUAUUGGACAAUGGGCGAAAGCCUGAUCCAGCAAUGCCGCGUGAGUGAUGAAGGCCUUAGGGUUGUAAAGCUCUUUUACCCGGGAUGAUAAUGACAGUACCGGGAGAAUAAGCUCCGGCUAACUCCGUGCCAGCAGCCGCGGUAAUACGGAGGGAGCUAGCGUUGUUCGGAAUUACUGGGCGUAAAGCGCACGUAGGCGGCUAUUCAAGUCGGGGGUGAAAGCCCGGGGCUCAACCCCGGAACUGCCUUCGAAACUAGAUAGCUAGAAUCUUGGAGAGGUCAGUGGAAUUCCGAGUGUAGAGGUGAAAUUCGUAGAUAUUCGGAAGAACACCAGUGGCGAAGGCGACUGACUGGACAAGUAUUGACGCUGAGGUGCGAAAGCGUGGGGAGCAAACA
This 402-nucleotide ribosomal RNA is filed under the name uncultured Novosphingobium sp. RNAcentral's name for it is "bacterial SSU rRNA". It matches the Rfam family "Bacterial small subunit ribosomal RNA", at positions 355 to 774 of the family's 1533-position model. The record is from RNAcentral. Lineage: Bacteria; Pseudomonadati; Pseudomonadota; Alphaproteobacteria; Sphingomonadales; Sphingomonadaceae.